UAAGUGAAGGUUUUAGUUUGGAGAUGAGAAGGCUUUCGUGGAUCAUGAGGUCGGAUGUGUCGGAGCAGGAUGAGAUGAUUUUAAAAUCGUCUGGCAAAGCAGGGUGGUUGAAGGAAUUACUAUGAGAAAGAAUACUUGACAUUAAUGGGAACGCUACCUAUCAGCUCAUGUGAGUGCGAGAGAUCUAUUUCUGCCCUCAGAACCCUCAAGGACUACCAACGCACUACGAUGAUCGAGGAACGUUUAAAUGGUCUUGCUUUGAUGCAAAUUCAUCGCGAAAUUGUUUCUAAUUUUAAGAACAUUAUUGAGAAAAGUUUGAUUACGGAGUACAAGAUUAAAGUUCAACUAAACGAUAAGUUUAACUUUUUGUCAUAUUCACGUGGAACACCAGUUAAGCUUUGCACUAUUACAUUGCCGAGAAUUAUUGUAUUGUUAUUUUGCGUACAUUUAAAUGAAAA
Long non-coding RNA from Xenia sp. Carnegie-2017, 458 nucleotides. RefSeq lists it as uncharacterized. The record is from RefSeq and is a predicted model, not a curated record. NCBI's taxonomy places the organism in Eukaryota, Metazoa, Cnidaria, Anthozoa, Malacalcyonacea, Xeniidae. The transcript is spliced from 2 exons.